RNAcentral lists this small nucleolar RNA (168 nucleotides) under Schizosaccharomyces japonicus yFS275. Lineage: Eukaryota; Fungi; Ascomycota; Schizosaccharomycetes; Schizosaccharomycetales; Schizosaccharomycetaceae. The record is from RNAcentral.
GAACAACGCAAAAUAAACAGUUUUGAAGUGUACGGUUUGAGAACUUGAUUCAGAUGAUGAAUCCGUGCAAUUAAUUAUAAAAAACUGAAGAAGAAUUAAAUAGGUAGCGGUUGGGUGAGUUGUCGUCCGAAUAAGUUGGUCUUCAUCUCAAUAACUGCUGCCACAAUA